Non-coding RNA from Mesorhizobium huakuii 7653R, 88 nucleotides. NCBI's taxonomy places the organism in Bacteria, Pseudomonadati, Pseudomonadota, Alphaproteobacteria, Hyphomicrobiales, Phyllobacteriaceae. The record is from Rfam.
GCGCCAAAUGUUUCCUCCCAUUCGUCUGGCGCGUUCCCCUCUGGAGGUUUUGACCUUCACACCUGGCCGGGCCCCGAGUCCGGCCUUU